This 468-nucleotide ribosomal RNA is filed under the name uncultured bacterium. RNAcentral describes it as "partial 16S ribosomal RNA". It matches the Rfam family "Bacterial small subunit ribosomal RNA", at positions 28 to 507 of the family's 1533-position model. The record is from RNAcentral.
GACGAACGCUGGCGGCGUGCUUAACACAUGCAAGUCGAACGGAAAGGCCCUGCUUUUGUGGGUUGCUCGAGUGGCGAACGGGUGAGUAACACGUGAGUAACCUGCCCUUGACUUUGGGAUAACUUCAGGAAACUGGGGCUAAUACCGGAUAGGAGCUCCUGCUGCAUGGUGGGGGUUGGAAAGUUUCGGCGGUUGGGGAUGGACUCGCGGCUUAUCAGCUUGUUGGUGGGGUAGUGGCUUACCAAGGCUUUGACGGGUAGCCGGCCUGAGAGGGUGACCGGCCACCUUGGGACUGAGGUACGGCCCAGACUCCUACGGGAGGCAGCAGUGGGGAAUAUUGCACAAUGGGCGGAAGCCUGAUGCAGCAACGCCGCGUGCGGGAUGACGGCCUUCGGGUUGUAAACCGCUUUCGCCUGUGACGAAGCGUGAGUGACGGUAAUGGGUAAAGAAGCACCGGCUAACUACGUG